CAGCAGCCACGGGAAUACGGAGGGCGCGAGCGUUAUCCGGAAUUAUUGGGCGUAAAGAGCUCGUAGGCGGUUUGUCGCGUCUGCCGUGAAAGUCCGGGGCUCAACCCCGGAUCUGCGGUGGGUACGGGCAGACUAGAGUGAUGUAGGGGAGACUGGAAUUCCUGGUGUAGCAGUGAAAUGCGCAGAUAUCUGGAGGAACACCGGUGGCGAAGGCGGCAUCCUGGACCGAGAUUGACGCUGAGGCGCGAAAGCUAGGGGAGCAAACAGGAUUAGAUACCCCAGUAGUCCCUGUCUCUUAUAC
RNAcentral lists this ribosomal RNA (301 nucleotides) under uncultured bacterium. RNAcentral's name for it is "partial 16S ribosomal RNA". It matches the Rfam family "Bacterial small subunit ribosomal RNA", at positions 509 to 807 of the family's 1533-position model. The record is from RNAcentral.